This is a small nucleolar RNA of Cynoglossus semilaevis (tongue sole), 130 nucleotides long. Ensembl annotates it as small nucleolar RNA SNORA13. NCBI's taxonomy places the organism in Eukaryota, Metazoa, Chordata, Actinopteri, Pleuronectiformes, Cynoglossidae. The record is from Ensembl.
UGCCUUUAUGUGUUGCCCUUUCAUUGUUUUUAAUGAUAGGGGUGUCAAAUAAGGCAUACAGCGACACCUGCUGUCAUCUGUGUGAAGGGUUUCCACUGACUCUUCAACACCAGUGGCAGCAGGGACAAAC